RNAcentral lists this ribosomal RNA (253 nucleotides) under uncultured bacterium. RNAcentral's name for it is "partial 16S ribosomal RNA". It matches the Rfam family "Bacterial small subunit ribosomal RNA", at positions 524 to 776 of the family's 1533-position model. The record is from RNAcentral.
UACGAAGGUCCCAAGCGUUAUCCGGAUUUAUUGGGUUUAAAGGGUGCGUAGGCGGAUUAUUAAGUCAGUGGUGAAAGCUCCCAGCUUAACUGGGAAACUGCCAUUGAUACUGAUGAUCUUGAGUAUGAUUGAAGUGGGCGGAAUGUGUCAUGUAGCGGUGAAAUGCUUAGAUAUGACACAGAACACCGAUUGCGUAGGCAGCUCACUAAGCCAUAACUGACGCUGAUGCACGAAAGCGUGGGGAGCAAACAGG